UACCAGCACCCCGAGUGGUCGGGACGAUUAUUGGGCCUAAAGCAUCCGUAGCCGGUCCUACAAGUCUUCCGUUAAAUCCAGCUGCUUAACAGAUGGGCUGCGGAGGAUACUACAGGGCUAGGAGGCGGGAGAGGCAAGCGGUACUUUAUGGGUAGGGGUAAAAUCCGUUGAUCCAUAGAAGACCACCAGUGGCGAAGGCGGCUUGCCAGAACGCGCUCGACGGUGAGGGAUGAAAGCUGGGGGAGCAAACCGG
Molecule: ribosomal RNA, 253 nt
Filed under: uncultured bacterium
Lineage: Bacteria
Description: partial 16S ribosomal RNA
Rfam family: Archaeal small subunit ribosomal RNA
Source: RNAcentral